Molecule: ribosomal RNA, 301 nt
Filed under: uncultured bacterium
Lineage: Bacteria
Description: partial 16S ribosomal RNA
Rfam family: Bacterial small subunit ribosomal RNA
Source: RNAcentral
CAGCCGCCGCGGGAACACAGAGGGUGCGAGCGUUAAUCGGAUUUACUGGGCGUAAAGCGUGCGUAGGCGGCUUCUUAAGUCGGAUGUGAAAUCCCUGAGCUUAACUUAGGAAUUGCAUUCGAUACUGGGAAGCUAGAGUAUGGGAGAGGAUGGUAGAAUUCCAGGUGUAGCGGUGAAAUGCGUAGAGAUCUGGAGGAAUACCGAUGGCGAAGGCAGCCAUCUGGCCUAAUACUGACGCUGAGGUACGAAAGCAUGGGGAGCAAACAGGAUUAGAUACCCCCGUAGUCCCUGUCUCUUAUAC